This 231-nucleotide unclassified non-coding RNA is filed under the name plant metagenome. RNAcentral's name for it is "partial contains small subunit ribosomal RNA, internal transcribed spacer 1, and 5.8S ribosomal RNA". The stretch from base 183 to 231 matches the Rfam family "5.8S ribosomal RNA", at positions 1 to 49 of the family's 154-position model. The record is from RNAcentral.
UUUCCGUAGGUGAACCUGCGGAAGGAUCAUUCAUAAUAAAGUGUUUUAUGGCACUUUUUAAAAAUCCAUAUCCACCUUGUGUGCAAUGUUAGAUCUCGUCAAUCUUGGCGAGAUUUUUAUACAUCAACUCAUUUUUCAACUAAUUUGUCUGAAAAAUAUUAUGAAUACUUAAUUCAAAAUACAACUUUCAACAACGGAUCUCUUGGCUCUCGCAUCGAUGAAGAACGCAAC